UUCUGCACGGGGCUUCUGGGCAGGCAGCACUAACACUCUGGAGAAGGUCUGCCUCUGUCUGCGCUUUCCUGGUUCAAUGCAGGCAGAUGAGUGUCACAGAUGUAACUGAGGCACUGAAUAAUCAACAUAUCGAAGCCAAUUCCUAUGACGGCAAGAGGGGGAACCAGCAGAGAUGACUGACCGUGGAGGAUAAGAGCAUUCUUCUGACAAGUUUUAGCAUGGACUAUCCUCAGGAAAAUGAGAUCCAGGAAGAGUGACGCCCUCCUCGAACUGAAAGAUACUCAGGCUGAUGGAGUCAGGGAGGAAGUGGUUUAUCAACAGCACAGGAUGUGUGCAGGGAACAGAACUUUUUCAGACAUGCCCCAGAUUGUCUGCCCAUGGGGACUGAGGUACCUCUGAGAUUUACAGCAGGAAGGAGAGGCUGUUUCUACAGGUGCCACAGAAAAAUCGAUGCUGAGCCACGGAUUAUUGGAUCUCAUAGAACCGUGGAGACUUGGCAGUGAAAUUCUUCCAAAGCAUUCCAUCUGCACAGGCAGAGGUGUUCCUGGUUUGGGAAGUAUAAAUCCCGUGGGAAGUCAACUGGAGGACAUUUUACGCAUCACUCAUCCUAUUAUGAGCCUGCUGCUCCUUCCUCUCUUGACAAGGCCACCAACUAGAAGGGCACAGAAUUGUUCAUAAAACAGCUGAAUGUGAACAUCUUUGGAUUCCCAUUUAAUGAAUUGGCAGCUAAAGGACAGGAGCAGCAAUAAGGCUUCCUGGCUACAUUUUCAUGGUGCCACCAACUGCGAG
Molecule: long non-coding RNA, 789 nt
Filed under: Mus caroli (Ryukyu mouse)
Lineage: Eukaryota; Metazoa; Chordata; Mammalia; Rodentia; Muridae
Source: RNAcentral